UACAGAGGGGGCAAGCGUUGUUCGGAAUUACUGGGCGUAAAGGGCGCGUAGGUGGCCUUCUAAGUUGAACGUGAAAUCCCUGGGCUCAACCCAGGAACUGCGUGCAAGACUGGGAGGCUUGAGUCCGGGAGAGGGAUGCGGAAUUCCAGGUGUAGCGGUGAAAUUCGUAGAUAUUGGGAAGAACACCGGUGGCGAAGGCGGCCAUCUGGACCGUAUCUGACGCUGAGGCGCGAAAGCGUGGGGAGCAAACAGG
RNAcentral lists this ribosomal RNA (253 nucleotides) under uncultured bacterium. RNAcentral's name for it is "partial 16S ribosomal RNA". It matches the Rfam family "Bacterial small subunit ribosomal RNA", at positions 524 to 776 of the family's 1533-position model. The record is from RNAcentral.